UGCCAGCCGCCGCGGUAAUACGGAGAGGGCAAGCGUUGUUCGGAAUUAUUGGGCAUAAAGCGCACGUAGGCGGAUUGGUCAGUCGGUUGUGAAAGCCCGGGGCUCAACCCCGGAACGGCUUCCGAAACUGCCAGUCUGGAGGACGAGAGGGGAGAGUGGAACUUCUGGUGGAGCGGUGAAAUGCGUAGAUAUCAGAAGGAACACCGGUGGCGAAAGCGACUCUCUGGCUCGUUUCUGACGCUGAGGUGCGAAAGCGUGGGGAGCAAACAGGAUUAGAUA
This 279-nucleotide ribosomal RNA is filed under the name uncultured bacterium. RNAcentral describes it as "partial 16S ribosomal RNA". It matches the Rfam family "Bacterial small subunit ribosomal RNA", at positions 506 to 784 of the family's 1533-position model. The record is from RNAcentral.